GCGAACGCUGGCGGCGUGGAUUAGGCAUGCAAGUCGAACGGGGUCGUGGCCGCAAGGUUACGACUCAGUGGCGAAAGGGCGAGUAAUACAUCGAUCAUCUGCCCCAGGGACCGGAACAACACUUGGAAUCGAGUGCUAAUACCGGAUGGUCCAGCAAUGGUAAACGGUGGGGACCGCAAGGCCUGCCGCCCAGGGAGGAGUCGAUGGCCUAUCAGCUAGUUGGUGAGGUAACGGCUCACCAAGGCUAAGACGGGUAGCCGGACUGAGAGGUUGGUCGGCCGCACUGGGACUGGGACACUGCCCAGACUCCUACGGGAGGCUGCAGUCGAGGAUCUUCCGCAAUGGGGGCAACCCUGACGGAGCGACGCCGCGUGCAGGAUGAAGGCCUUCGGGUCGUAAACUGCUGUCACACGUUAUGAAACUGCACGGAUUAAUACUCCGUGCCCUGACAAAGGCGUGAAAGGAAGCCACGGCUAACUUCG
Molecule: ribosomal RNA, 482 nt
Filed under: uncultured bacterium
Lineage: Bacteria
Description: bacterial SSU rRNA
Rfam family: Bacterial small subunit ribosomal RNA
Source: RNAcentral